UCCGAACUCCUUCUUGCUCAUUUAUUCGGACUCUCCACCUGCUGCUUAAUCCUCAUGAUGGACGCUUCAUUUGCACUUUCACAAGUCAGUUGUCGUUUUGCACGGCGUGGUGGUGGUGCUGGUGUCUCUUAAAAAAGAGCAGAUGUACUCUGAUGAAAAUUCAUUGCAACCUGAGAAUUCCAGCUGCAUGAGGGGCUCGUGUUCCUUUUAAUGAGGUUUGGUUUUAGAGGGGGUUCUGUUCGGAGAAUGUUAAAACAAAAGUUUGAGUUUACAAAAAAAAAAAAAAGAAAGAAAGAAAAAACAGCCCACCUCAUUUAUCAUUACGAACUGCAGUCCCGAGCCACUGACUCCUGUAAAGCCUGAUGAACUUUAUGUGAAUGAAGUAAGACACCAUUUACGCAAGAGUCUGCCUGCUGAAUGGCACGAUUUGCAUAACAAUAAAGGCAAAGAGAUCUCGGCGAAGUCAAAUCUCACCACCCCUUCUCUCGUCUCCUCUGCAGCGGGGCGCCUGAGCUUUCUGCUGGCGACCGGGACGCUGAGAAAGUGUCAGUGCUGCCAAUCACCACUUGGUUAUGUCCGCGGACGCAAACGUACACAAUGUGGAGGUUCUUAACAAGUGAAAUGUAACGCGCAACCGGAGUCUGAACCAACGGGGAGUCCUUCUUGGAAUCCUGAAAUCAAUAUGAAUGGCCCCUGGCAGAGGCUGCUUUUUUGUUUCUUCCUUCGCCUGGUUUCUAGACUGUUCGGAGUAUCUGCCAUGUUGCCAGAAUUGGAAAGUUCUGAAUCAAAUG
Long non-coding RNA from Erpetoichthys calabaricus (reedfish), 791 nucleotides. RefSeq lists it as uncharacterized. The transcript is spliced from 3 exons. The record is from RefSeq and is a predicted model, not a curated record. Lineage: Eukaryota; Metazoa; Chordata; Cladistia; Polypteriformes; Polypteridae.